AAACUAGGAUUAGAUACCCUAUUAUUUAUGAAGCUAAACAUUGUAAGUAAAUGUUAAUUAUGAAAGCAAAAAAUUAUGGCGGUAUCUUAAGCUUUUCAGAGGAAUUUGCUCUAUAAUGGAUAAAACGCCUAAACCUUACUUUGACUAGUAAAAUCAAUUUGUAUACCACUAUUAAAAUAAUAACAUACAACUAUUAUUUCAAUAUAAUUUAUAUAAAAAAUUAAGUCAAGGUGCAGUAAAAGUCAAUGAAUGAAGUGAAUUACAUUUCUUUUUAGAAAAGAAAAAUGAAAAGUAAAUUAGGAUUUGAAAGUAAAAUUAAAAUAAAAUGUUAAUUUGAAUUAAGCUCUAAGAUAUGUACAUAUCGCCCGUCACUCUUUUUAAGAUAAGUCGUAACAAAGUUAAAAUACUGGAAAGUGUUUUAAAAAAAAAAAAAAUGAAAUCAUUAGAUGUUUCACUUACAAUGAAAAUUUGUAUUAAUAUACCAUUUUUUUUUUAAAUUAUAACAAAAUUAUAACAUAGAAAGUAAUUUUAUUAAAAUUUAUUAAUUAAUUAAUUAUAAUAAAACUGUAAAGGAAUUUUUUUUUUUAAAAAUUUAAAAGUAAAUUCAAUGUACCUUUUGCAUAAGGGAUUUUUAAAAAAAAUUAAAAUUUUAAUUUUCUCGAAAUAAAUUGAUCUAAAAUAAAAUAUGUAAUUUAUGUUUCAUUAUAAAUUUUAAUUUUAUUUUAGUUGUGAAAUGCUUGUCAAAAUUUAAGAUAACUAGUUUAAAAAAAAAAUUUAAUAUUAACCUAUAAAUAAAUUUUUUAUUAUUAAUUUUAUAGGUAAAAAUCUUAGGGAUAAGCUGAAGAUUAAAUUUUUAAUAAUUAAAGUAAGUUUUAAUAUAAGAAAUAUAAUUGUUCUUUAUAUUGUUAUAAGUAAAUUAAAAUAAUAGUUUAUAAUUAAUUUAUUUUUAAAUAUAAAAUAAAGAAUUUUUUUUUAUUUUAGAAUAUGAAAAUAUUAGUAAAAUUAUUUAAAAUUAAAAAUAAAAAAAAAAGUUAAAAGUUAUAAAUUUAUAAAAUAAAAUAAGUUUAAAUAAUUCGGCAAAAUUUUUCUUUGACUGUUUAAUAAAAACAACUUAUUCAGAUUUUAAUUUUAUUGAAUAUAAAUCCUGCUCAAUGAUUUUUUUUUUAAAUUGCUGUAGUAUUUUGACUAUACAAAGGUAUUGUAAUAAGAUUUUAAUUGAAUGCUAAGAGAAUGGAAUUUCAGGGAAAAACUGUUUUAAACUUAAAAAUUAAAUUUAUUUUAAUUUGUGAAGAAACAAUUAUUUAAAUUAAGGACAAGAAGACCCUAAGAAUUUUAAAGAUAAUAAUUUUAAUAUUAAAAUUAUUAUCUUUUGGUUGGGGCAACUAAAAAAGAUUAUAAACUUUUUAUUUAAUAAAAUGAUCCAUUAUUAAUGAUAAUUUGAUAAAAAUACUCUAGGGAUAACAGCGUAAUAAUUUUUGAUAGAACAUAUAGACAAAAUAGUUUGCGACCUCGAUGUUGGAUUAGGAUACUUUUUUAAUGAAGAUGUUAAAAAAAGAAGUUUGUUCAACUUUUAAAGUCCUACUUGAUCUGAGUUCAGACCGG
This 1602-nucleotide ribosomal RNA is filed under the name Dermacentor andersoni. RNAcentral's name for it is "partial 16S ribosomal RNA". Lineage: Eukaryota; Metazoa; Arthropoda; Arachnida; Ixodida; Ixodidae. The record is from RNAcentral.